Molecule: ribosomal RNA, 497 nt
Filed under: uncultured bacterium
Lineage: Bacteria
Description: partial 16S ribosomal RNA
Rfam family: Bacterial small subunit ribosomal RNA
Source: RNAcentral
GAUGGACGCUGGCGGCGUGCCUAAUACAUGCAAGUCGAGCGAACAGACGAGGAGCUUGCUCCUCUGACGUUAGCGGCGGACGGGUGAGUAACACGUGGAUAACCUACCUAUAAGACUGGGAUAACUUCGGGAAACCGGAGCUAAUACCGGAUAACAUGUUGAACCGCAUGGUUCAACAGUGAAAGACGGUCUUGCUGUCACUUAUAGAUGGAUCCGCGCCGCAUUAGCUAGUUGGUAAGGUAACGGCUUACCAAGGCAACGAUGCGUAGCCGACCUGAGAGGGUGAUCGGCCACACUGGAACUGAGACACGGUCCAGACUCCUACGGGAGGCAGCAGUAGGGAAUCUUCCGCAAUGGGCGAAAUCCUGACGGAGCAACGCCGCGUGAGUGAAGAAGGUCUUCGGAUCGUAAAACUCUGUUAUUAGGGAAGAACAAAUGUGUAAGUAACUAUGCACGUCUUGACGGUACCUAAUCAGAAAGCCACGGCUAACUACGUG